Impatiens glandulifera is the source of this 538-nucleotide long non-coding RNA. RefSeq lists it as uncharacterized. The record is from RefSeq and is a predicted model, not a curated record. NCBI's taxonomy places the organism in Eukaryota, Viridiplantae, Streptophyta, Magnoliopsida, Ericales, Balsaminaceae. The transcript is spliced from 2 exons.
AGAGCACAAAUAAACCACAAAUGAUACAGAAGAUUAAGAUUUCUUAGGUGAUUAUCGAGUUCUGAUUGGAAGAUGAAAGACUGAGUUCAGAUUAGAAGAUGAAAGGUGAGAAAAUGGUCAUUGAAAAGGGUUUUGAAUCCAGAGGAGAAAUCCAUCUCUCCUCAAAGAGGAGAGUGAUACUAAAUGUCUAGGAUAGUUUAUAUAAAUUGUUGACCCCAAUGCUAUGACCGAUCCGGUUAGCACUUGAGAUUUCCCCCACCUGGAACAGAAUUCACGGGCGCUGUCAUAGACUCAAAGCUGAGAAGUUUCUUCUUGUAGAGAUCCAAAGCCGCAGCCUCUGUCCAUGAGAGGGUUUCUUCGUCUUGAGCAAUCCGGAUGAAGAAGGAACAUGAAGCGUCUAGGCUUGUGAGAUCAUGAGCAUCCAGAUUGUAUUCAGUCAGGAGCUGAUGGAGAAGGGAAGAAAUUGAAGACAAUGUCCCAAUUGGACUUUCACUUCCAAUCAUUGAUGCUGAUGCUCUCGUGUACCUGUCAUGUCUAU